This 554-nucleotide ribosomal RNA is filed under the name uncultured bacterium. RNAcentral's name for it is "bacterial SSU rRNA". It matches the Rfam family "Bacterial small subunit ribosomal RNA", at positions 351 to 906 of the family's 1533-position model. The record is from RNAcentral.
GCAGUAGGGAAUAUUGGGCAAUGGCCGAGAGGCUGACCCAGCCAUGCCGCGUGCAGGAAGAAGGCCUUCUGGGUUGUAAACUGCUUUUACCAGGGAAGAAAACGCGCCUGCGGGCGUAACUGACGGUACCUGGUGAAUAAGCACCGGCUAACUCCGUGCCAGCAGCCGCGGUAAUACGGAGGGUGCAAGCGUUGUCCGGAUUUAUUGGGUUUAAAGGGUGCGUAGGCGGCCCGUUAAGUCAGCGGUGAAAUCCCGGGGCUCAACCCCGGAACUGCCGUUGAUACUGGCGGGCUUGAGUUCGGUCGAGGCGGGCGGAACUGGUGGUGUAGCGGUGAAAUGCAUAGAUACCACCAAGAACCCCGAUUGCGAAGGCAGCUCGCUGGGCCGAAACUGACGCUGAGGCACGAAAGCGUGGGGAGCGAACAGGAUUAGAUACCCUGGUAGUCCACGCCGUAAACGAUGAGUACUCGAUGUUUGCGAUACACGGCAAGCGUCCAAGCGAAAGCGUUAAGUACUCCACCUGGGGAGUACGCCCGCAAGGGUGAAACUNAAAA